UCAGAGUGGGAGGCAACUGGAUAAGAGUUUUAGCCAGUGAGACAAGGUCGUGGACAUUUUUUGCACCUCGCACACUUACUGUGAUGUGCUACGCAAACUGGGAGGUAGGCCGGGGAUCCCAGAAGGACAGUUUUUGAAUUUGACAUACAUUCUGCGAUUUCAGUUCUCGCCAGUAUGCCAUCUUAAUGUCAUUAAUACCACACGUCAUCAUUUCCCAUUCCCAUACAUUCAGAGGGAUUAAUUCUAUUGUUUCUUAUUUUUCUUUCAUUUUAUAGCGAAAAUGUCCUGAGCACCUCUUUUGGGUCCUUUGAAGUGUAAUAGCAAUUUUAAUCAAAUGGUUAUUACUGACAUUCAUUGGAAGCUUACAGAUGAAGGAACUGAGGCUCAGAACUGGGAAUUCAAAGGAGGAUUCCACAGGACUUAUGUCACCACAGGAAGGAGCAUGAGGGACUCUUAGGGGAAAUGGACUUGUGUCUACUGAUAUUUAGGCAGCCAUGGGUUUGAAGAACAGGAGCAUUUGGCAUUGAAUUUGUCCAGAAUGAAACAAAGGCAUCAUCCUGGAUCAUGAAGAAAGUAACACAAGAGGAUAGAAAUUUUUUAGAACCAACAAAUGAAAAUGGCUCAGAGGCCCUGGACUUAAGGAAAGGAGAUGAUCAAGGAGAUAAUGGCAAAGGUGGGCGAUAGCUGCCAUGGAACAGGUGUAGAAAAAGCCUGGAAGAGGAGUAUCCUCAAAUAUUACACACAGGUGUUUCACACAGUUAUUUGCAGCAAUGCAUUGUCCCUGGGGAAAUUGACAUAGCCCAAUAAAAGGUAACAGUAACAUCA
RNAcentral lists this long non-coding RNA (825 nucleotides) under Ursus maritimus (polar bear). Its description in RNAcentral is "lncRNA (ENSUMAG00000007880.1)". The record is from RNAcentral. Lineage: Eukaryota; Metazoa; Chordata; Mammalia; Carnivora; Ursidae.